This 253-nucleotide ribosomal RNA is filed under the name uncultured bacterium. Its description in RNAcentral is "partial 16S ribosomal RNA". It matches the Rfam family "Bacterial small subunit ribosomal RNA", at positions 524 to 776 of the family's 1533-position model. The record is from RNAcentral.
GACAGAGGUCCCGAGCGUUAGGCGGAAUCACUGGGCUUAAAGCGUGUGUAGGCGGAUGCCUAAGUACGUUGUGAAAUCCCACGGCUCACCCGUGGAACUGCUCGGUAUACUGGGUGUCUUGAGCCACUUAGGGGCUACCGGAACAAAUGGUGGAGCGGUGAAAUGCGUAGAUAUCAAGCGGAACACCGGUGGCGAAGGCGGCCUUCUGGACAGUGACUGACGCUGAGACGCGAAAGCGUGGGGAGCAAACAGG